Molecule: ribosomal RNA, 468 nt
Filed under: uncultured bacterium
Lineage: Bacteria
Description: partial 16S ribosomal RNA
Rfam family: Bacterial small subunit ribosomal RNA
Source: RNAcentral
GACGAACGCUGGCGGCGUGCUUAACACAUGCAAGUCGAACGGAAAGGCCCUGCUUGCAGGGUGCUCGAGUGGCGAACGGGUGAGUAACACGUGGGUGAUCCGCCCCUUACUUUGGGAUAAGCCUGGAAACUGGGUCUAAUACUGGAUAGGACCAUGCUGUAGGUGGUGUGGUGGAAAGAUUAGUUUCGGUAAGGGAUGAGCUCGCGGCCUAUCAGCUUGUUGGUGGGGUAAUGGCCUACCAAGGCGUCGACGGGUAGCCGGCCUGAGAGGGUGGACGGCCACAUUGGGACUGAGAUACGGCCCAGACUCCUACGGGAGGCAGCAGUGGGGAAUAUUGCACAAUGGGCGCAAGCCUGAUGCAGCGACGCCGCGUGGGGGAUGACGGCCUUCGGGUUGUAAACUCCUUUCAGCCAUGACGAAGCCCUUGUGGUGACGGUAGUGGUAGAAGAAGCACCGGCUAACUACGUG